ACAGGCAGUAGUUCAUUACCAAUGCUUCCCAAGUGGCUGACAGGGGUCUGGUUGCAUUGUCUGAGAUGCUUUAAGAGCGACUUCCUCAGGUCAGAGCUGUGAGGAAAUUAAGACUGUACAGUUUUUCAAUAACAGUGAAACCAACGUAGCAAACACGAAGAAAUCUGCAGAUGCUGGAAUUUCAAGCAACACACAAAAGUUGCUGGUGAACGCAGCGGGCCAGGCAGCAUCUAUAGGAAGAGGAAUGAUCUGGAGAAAAUGGGAGUACAGCCUGUGACAGGGCCUGUAACAAUGAUGGAUUGAAACAAUGCACAUCACCUAGACCAAGAACAGUCUAGACAGCAUGAUCUGUGUCAUAUACAAGGGGAAUGCACUCAAGUGUUAAUAGAUGGGGCUACUGAAGCAGCAGAAUAUGAAGUCUCUGACAUACCUAUCCAUUUAAUCUUCAGAAAAGGAAAAAGUGAGCAUUUUCCAAGUUUCUGGCUGUCAACAUCUCUGAAGAUCAACCCUGGCCCCAACAUAUUGAUGCUAUGGCAAAGAUAGCACAUCAGCAGCUACAUUUCCUUUGGACUUGAAGAGAUUUGUUAUUGAACUUGAAGAUUCUAGUCAAUUUCUGCAGACAAACCGUGGAGAGCAUAGCAAGUGGUUGAUUCAUUGUCUGGUAUUGGGGAGGGGCAUGAGGGGAGCACUGCACAGGAUCAGGGAAAAAGCUUCAGUGUUGUAAAUUCUGCCAGUUCCAUCAUGGGCACUGGUUUCCCCAACAUAAAGGACAUUUUCAAAAGGCAAUGCCUCAAAAAGACAACAUCCAUCAUUAAGGAAACCCAUCACCCAGGGCACGCUACCAUCAGGGAGGAGGUACAGGAACCUAAAGAGAGAUUCAACAUUUCAGGAACAAAUUCCCCUCCUUUACCAGAUCUCUGAAUGGAAAUGCACUCAUCCUCACUAUUUCUGAUCUCUAUUUACACUGUAUGCAUGCAGUACUGUGAGUAGCCAGUGAGCCCAAGACUUUUGCACAGUCCUGUACUGUAGUAAUUUUAUGUAUUGCAUGUUAAUGCUGCCGCACAAAAAAAAAUAAAUUUCAUACAUAUGUGAAUGAUGAUAAACCCACAUGUGACUGAUGGGUCUCCACUGUGGAGUGAGUGUGGGAAGAGCGUUGGGAGAAGGGAAUCAUGAUUGGGAAAAUUGGAAGGGAGGGGAAGGGAGCAGGCAGCACCAGAGAAACAUCAAUGAACCAAUUGUUUGGAAUCGAGUAACCUUGCCUGGUGUUUCACAGCUGGGUGUGUCUGCACAUGCAUCAUCCAUCAUCCUUGGCACUUCUUCGCUGCCACCUGUCUCACACUCCACCCAAUGCUCGACCCUCACCAUUCCCAACACCCUUCGCUCCCACCAGGUUUACAAACUUACUCUCUGCUCCACAUUGACAAAUACAGUACCAUGCUGAAGUCUUAGGCACCCAGCUAUAUGUAUCUAAGACUUUUGCAUAGUAAUAUGUAAAAUCAUGAUUUAUAGUUUGUUUUUAUCAAUUGCUCUGUACUGCUGCAACAAAAACAAAUUGAACAGCAUA
This is a long non-coding RNA of Mobula hypostoma (lesser devil ray), 1564 nucleotides long. RefSeq lists it as uncharacterized. The record is from RefSeq and is a predicted model, not a curated record. The transcript is spliced from 3 exons. NCBI's taxonomy places the organism in Eukaryota, Metazoa, Chordata, Chondrichthyes, Myliobatiformes, Myliobatidae.